Molecule: long non-coding RNA, 131 nt
Organism: Myotis brandtii (Brandt's bat)
Lineage: Eukaryota; Metazoa; Chordata; Mammalia; Chiroptera; Vespertilionidae
Exons: 3
Source: RefSeq, a predicted model, not a curated record
GCUCCCUUGUUUCCCCCAUUGACCUCUUCCAGCCUGCUCCUGUCCUCUAGCCCAGGCCUUUAUCACCCUAUUCUCUGUGUCCAUCUGUUAUUCAUAUAUGCAUAUAAGUUCUUUAGUUAAUCUCUUCAUGC